This is a long non-coding RNA of Tarenaya hassleriana, 2178 nucleotides long. RefSeq lists it as uncharacterized. The record is from RefSeq and is a predicted model, not a curated record. NCBI's taxonomy places the organism in Eukaryota, Viridiplantae, Streptophyta, Magnoliopsida, Brassicales, Cleomaceae. The transcript is spliced from 6 exons.
AGUAGGCCGAGUGGGUAUCUGUUUCGGUAAGUUGAUUCUUGCUGCUCAAUCUUUCCCUUUUUUUUUGUUUUAACAAUCUUUCCCAUUUUUUUUUUUUUAUGAAAUCAAUCUUUCCCAUUUUCUUAUGCGAUUUUCAUUUUGCUGCUCGUAACUUCCGUGCGGCUCCGAUCCCAUCGAUUUCGAUUCUUUCCUGUCCUCGGUGUCUUUGGCUUGAGGGAAGGGGAAAAAAGGGAGAGAAAUAUGGGAGGAGGAGAAGGCGGUCCUGGUGAUUCAUCUGUUCAUGAUUCUACGGCGGUGGAGGAGAGGUCUCCGUCUAUAUCCGGUGCUCCAACGGCUCGCAAUUCUCCGUCCAGAUCAAGCUUGAUUCCACUGUCGGCUCCUUCAAAUCCGUUCUUGCUCAGCAAUGUGACAUCCCCACUGAUCAGCAGCGACUUAUUUACAAAGGUCGGAUCUUGAAGGACGAUCAAACCCUCGUUAGCUAUGGUAUGGAGGCUGAUCAUACUGUCCACUUGGUUCGUGGUUUCGCAACUUCGUCAGCCAACACUGGCAGUCCGAGCCCUUCUCCAUCUCCAAACCCGACACAGAAUAACCCAAGCACUGUGGGUUCGGGUGGUUAUGUGUCAGUUGGAGGAUCUGACCAUGGACUUGGUCUGGAUGGCUUAGGUGACUUAGGUGGCAGUGGUGGCUUGUUUGGAACUGGGCUUCUGGAUUUCGAGCAGGAGCCAGAACAGUUUAGGAAUUCCAACAUUAUGAGAGAAAUCAUGAACAUACCUAGAUUCCAGAGCCUGAUGAACAACCCCGCUUUCAUGCGAGAUAUGAUUAUGAACACUCGCCAGAUGCGGCAAAUCAUAGAUUGCAAUCCCGAGCUUGCCGACCUCCUGAAUGCUCUGAGAAUUCUUUGCCAAACUGUGGAGGCCAGAAGGAAUCCCGAGCCUAUGCAUAAACUGAGGUGGAACACUGACAGAGCAAUGAGAAACCUAGAGGCGAUUCCCGAGUGGUCCAACAUGCUCAGGCGAAUGUCUGAGAAUGCUCAAGAGCCUCGUUUGAAUGAUACUACAGCCAGAAAUGAUACCCCGAACCCGUUUGCUGCACUCCUUGGAGAUGGAUCAAUCAAUUAUCAUCUGCCGCUUCUGAAAACGCCAAUAUUGUUCUCCUGCACCGAAUACUAUCCCGCCAAUAAUUCUCCUGCACUCUUUCGUGUUUUCUCUCCUCGAGAGCAUUUAUAUAACUUUUAUUAUGUAUUCUGUUUAUACCAACAUAGUAAAUGGAAGAGCCCAGGCCAACACCACGAGAACGAAUGAUGCCACGGGAGGAGCCGGUCUUCCUGAACUUGGCAACAUGUUUGGAGCUUUUCCAGAUCCCAACAACCUUCUUAAUGAGUUCAUGCAAAACCUGGCUAUUAGCCAGAUGUUGCAAAGACUCUGGUCCAACCCACAGUACAUGAAUCAGAUUCUAAACCUCAACCGCAGAUCCAUGACAUCCUUGAUUCCAAUAUUCAGCUGAGAGAAAUGCUCCAAACCCUGGAUUUUGUGCGUCAAAUGAUGCAGCAACUGUUAGCAUUCCAGCAAUCUCUCCUCUCCCAACUGGGUCGUCUUCAAAGUACGCGGUAGAGUGAUCCAGCUGGUGGAGCUACAGGAGCACCUGCACCAGCUUCCAAUGACAAUGAAAGAGGACUAGAGAUGCCGAUGAACAUGUCUGAUAGACUCGGGUCAGGCAGCCUGGCGGUUCCUCAGCGUCCUAACAGUACUUACCUUCCUUUUUCCCCGUUGAAUCCGCAUCCGUUUGAUGCUCACACUCACUUCUCAUGUCCAGUUCCACCGGAAGAACUGUACGCCACACUGCUUUUGCAGCUUCGAGAAAUGGGGAUUCUUCGACACAGGAAAACGUCAGAGCCCUGAUGGCUACAGCCGGGAACAUUCAUGCUGUGGUUGAACAUCUUCUCGGGAACCCUCCCGGUCAGUAACCGUCUAUCUAAACUCGUCUUGCUCUUGUGUUUGUAAGUGAUGUUCGGAUUCUCUCUUGGUAUAUCACCGGUUUGGCUUCUCUGUACAUACCUUGUAGAACACUUCUCAUCAGAUGAAGUGUGUCUUGGUUCGAAUAUUAGUGUCAGAGCCUUACUAGUUUAUGUUAAAACAGUCUGCUGUUUCUGUAUGAAAGAUAUGAUCUUUUUUGUUUAAA